UACGAGAGCCCCGAGCGUUAUCCGGAAUUACUGGGCGUAAAGGGCUCGUAGGCGGCCAACUAAGUCAGACGUGAAAUCCCUCGGCUUAACCGGGGAACUGCGUCUGAUACUGGAUGGCUUGAGUUCGGGAGAGGGAUGCGGAAUUCCAGGUGUAGCGGUGAAAUGCGUAGAUAUCUGGAGGAACACCGGUGGCGAAGGCGGCAUCCUGGACCGACACUGACACUGAGGAGCGAAAGCCAGGGGAGCAAACGGG
RNAcentral lists this ribosomal RNA (253 nucleotides) under uncultured bacterium. Its description in RNAcentral is "partial 16S ribosomal RNA". It matches the Rfam family "Bacterial small subunit ribosomal RNA", at positions 524 to 776 of the family's 1533-position model. The record is from RNAcentral.